GCCGACUUAGCUCAGUAGGUAGAGCAACUGACUUGUAAUCAGUAGGUCACCAGUUCGAUAUUACGUGGGAGCAGGUU
This 77-nucleotide transfer RNA is filed under the name Escherichia coli. Its description in RNAcentral is "tRNA-Thr". It matches the Rfam family "tRNA", at positions 1 to 58 of the family's 71-position model. Rfam says of the family: Transfer RNA (tRNA) molecules are approximately 80 nucleotides in length. Lineage: Bacteria; Pseudomonadati; Pseudomonadota; Gammaproteobacteria; Enterobacterales; Enterobacteriaceae. The record is from RNAcentral.